This 231-nucleotide long non-coding RNA is filed under the name Lathyrus oleraceus (garden pea). Its description in RNAcentral is "Pisum sativum (pea) long non-coding RNA (PSAT_LNC039528)". Lineage: Eukaryota; Viridiplantae; Streptophyta; Magnoliopsida; Fabales; Fabaceae. The record is from RNAcentral.
CAACAUAAUUUCAAACAUUCUUUUUUCAAAUCCAAAUCUUGGAGGGAAAGUUAUCAAACCAUACACACAUUCAUCCAAAAAGUCAUUUUCAUGGCUAAAUGUCCAGUUACAUCACACACACAAAAAAACAAAUUAUCAGACUUUAAACAAAAACUACAACCUUUGACCUAUAGUUGACUUUGGUUAACUAUGGCCUUUUUGGUCAACUAGUUGACUAAAGUCAACCAUUAA